AAGUAGCGGCGAGCGAACGCGGAUUAGCCCAAACCAAUGUUGUUACGGCAAUAUUGGGGUUGUAGGACCACGACAUUUGAUGCAUGAUGAACUAGAACAAGUUGGAAAGCUUGGCCAUAGACGGUGAUAGCCCGGUAUAAGUAAAGCGUGCGUAGAUAGUGGUAUCCUGAGUAGUGCGGGGCACGUGAAACCCUGUAUGAAUCAGUCGGGACCAUCCGAUAAGGCUAAAUACUCCUGAGAGACCGAUAGUGAACUAGUACCGUGAGGGAAAGGUGAAAAGAACCCUGAAUAAGGGAGUGAAAUAGAUCCUGAAACCAUACGCUUACAAGCGGUCGGAGCUGACUUGAUCAGUGACGGCGUGCCUUUUGCAUAAUGAGCCUACGAGUUACUUUUACUAGCAAGGUUAAGGACUUCAGGUCCGGAGCCGUAGCGAAAGCGAGUCUUAAUAGGGCGCCAUAGUUAGUAGUAGUAGACGCGAAACCGUGCGAUCUACCCUUGGGCAGGUUGAAGCUGUGGUAACACAUAGUGGAGGACCGAACCCGUUGACGUUGAAAAGUCUUGGGAUGACCUGUGGGUAGGGGUGAAAGGCCAAUCAAGCUCGGAAAUAGCUCGUACUCCCCGAAAU
Molecule: ribosomal RNA, 625 nt
Filed under: uncultured eukaryote
Lineage: Eukaryota
Description: partial Bacterial large subunit ribosomal RNA
Rfam family: Bacterial large subunit ribosomal RNA
Source: RNAcentral